Long non-coding RNA from Telopea speciosissima, 432 nucleotides. RefSeq lists it as uncharacterized. The record is from RefSeq and is a predicted model, not a curated record. NCBI's taxonomy places the organism in Eukaryota, Viridiplantae, Streptophyta, Magnoliopsida, Proteales, Proteaceae. The transcript has 2 exons.
UUUAUGGGUCUUAACAUCUUGAAUCUAGGUGUCAUUGAUUAGACAUGAUGUUCCAUGGUAUAGAGGAUCCCCACCCAUCUUAUUGGUCCAACUUCAAUCCAAAAUAAGCAUGAUACUUGGGUGAAAAAUGAGUCAAGAGGUUAAAAAAAAUGACAAACAUGCCACCAAUCUCUGUUGUUACAUAAUGGAGGGUUAUGGCAUUCCUGUGAUUUGGUAUAAAUUUGAACAUGUUUUGACCCUAUUAAAAACUCCUAUUGGGAUUAAACUUCACAAGUGAGAUGGGUGCAGAGUUCUCCAUAACAUGGAUCCACCCAUGCCCAUCAUUUCCUGCAACAUAGCAAUCAGUGCACUUUAUAGAGUUCAGUAACUUUCAUGAACAUUAACUUUAACCUUGAAGACCACCAACAUUUAUCCAGCAAAAAUAUUAGAAAG